AGUUGAGCCGUGAUCGUCUUUCGGGGAGUGUUGUGUCGAUAUUGAAUAUUGUUUAGUGCACGAUUUCAGCUAAAUAAAAAGAUUGACAAUUAAUCUCCCUGUGCCCUCCGGGUUAGGAGUCCAAAAACACAUUCGAAAUGAACUGACCUGGGUAAAACAAAUAACAAUCCAAAUUGGACCUUCUCGAUCGCAGAGUACGAUAGCUCCUCCGAAAAGUACUGGCUUUUUAAUGAAAGAAUGUUGUGAAGCGUCAUUAGGCAGUUCAUUUCCUUAUAAACUUGUCGUCAAUGUUCAUGGGCAGCUCGCUUCAUGGGGUUCGCCGUUUUCAACUGGCCG
Molecule: long non-coding RNA, 336 nt
Organism: Photinus pyralis (common eastern firefly)
Lineage: Eukaryota; Metazoa; Arthropoda; Insecta; Coleoptera; Lampyridae
Exons: 3
Source: RefSeq, a predicted model, not a curated record